UGAAACGCAGCCCUUGGCCCCAGCUUCCCAUGGGCAGGGAGCCAGCCGAGCCCCUCACAGGUGUUCCCCAAGGCUCUGCAGAUGCGGCCCAGGAGAAUGCAGGAAAAGGAGGACAGCCCAGUGUCUGGGGCCCCUAGCAGGGUGAAGAACCGGCAUUCCUACCCCAGCACAUCAGGGCCGGUCACUCGUCAUCUUAGUGCACAAGUCUCCAGGUUGAGAGGAGCCACGGGAGUCAGCACCAGAAGCCGGCUGCCGUGCUCGACGCCAUGACUGGCUGAGGCUUUCGGGGGUUAGGUGUUUUGUAUGCAUCAGUGAAGCAGGCAUUUGUGACCCACUAUUGGGGCAGGUGGUUUCACUUUCUCACCACUGUGUCCGGAACUGGUGGGGUCUUGGUCUCACUGACUUCACGAAUGAAGCCGUGGA
RNAcentral lists this long non-coding RNA (423 nucleotides) under Pongo abelii (Sumatran orangutan). Its description in RNAcentral is "lincRNA". Lineage: Eukaryota; Metazoa; Chordata; Mammalia; Primates; Hominidae. The record is from RNAcentral.